GAAACAAUAUCAUCAGAAUUUCUACAACUUCAUCAGUAUAAACUUUGUUCAGCAGCAGUUUUAUCCUUAUAGAAAUGAAAAUACUCUUUCUUAUCUGUAUUACUUGUGCUGCAAUAAACUACGUACAUUUGGAGGAAUUAUGUAAUAUUCCAGAUGGAUUGUUAAAAUAUUUGUGUACCAUUCAUAAUGAAGAGGAGAAUAUAGCUCCAAGAGUUAGAGAGAAGAGAGAAGGAGGUUAUAUAAGAUUUGGAAGAUCGCCUAUUGAUUGGAAACUUAGGCAAAAAAGAGAUAUAAAUGAAGAGAAGAGCUUACCCCGAAACCAGGAAUCCAUGAACCAAAGAGAACAACAACAUAUAGAGGAGAAUAAACAAUUAGAUCCAGAAUUAGAAAGUGCUAUAGAAAUACUUCGACUGUACGAAGUAUUAGGGUCCCUUAACAAAAAGAGGCUUAUUAAGUUUGGUAAGAGAUUCAUGAGGUUUGGUAAACGUGAUGAUGCUAUGUAUAUGAGAUUUGGUAAAGAUCAUGAAGGUGGUGAAACAAAGAAAACCUAUAUCAGAUUUGGCAGAAAUAAUAAAGAAAAGAAGCAAUAUAUUCGGUUCGGUAGAAGUCAAUAGUAUACAUUUCAUCGUUCAGAUUUAUUUAUGUUUAAUAUUACAGGAAGUGUUGUCAAUGAUUCAUAAAAUACUGCUAAUGAGGCAAAAAUACAAUUAUAGUUCUCUUUUGAGUAUCAGCAAGCUAUUCUUAACCUUUAACCUAAAAUUAUUAUUACUAAUAUUUAUA
RNAcentral lists this unclassified non-coding RNA (780 nucleotides) under Dimorphilus gyrociliatus. Its description in RNAcentral is "dgyrCDS8626". Lineage: Eukaryota; Metazoa; Annelida; Polychaeta; Dinophilidae. The record is from RNAcentral.